This 430-nucleotide ribosomal RNA is filed under the name Bacteroidota bacterium. RNAcentral describes it as "Bacteroidetes bacterium partial 16S ribosomal RNA". It matches the Rfam family "Bacterial small subunit ribosomal RNA", at positions 355 to 776 of the family's 1533-position model. Lineage: Bacteria; Pseudomonadati; Bacteroidota. The record is from RNAcentral.
UAGGGAAUCUUCGGCAAUGGGGGGAACCCUGACCGAGCAACGCCGCGUGAGUGAAGAAGGUUUUCGGAUCGUAAAGCUCUGUUGUUAAGGAAGAACGAGUGUGAGAAUGGAAAGUUCAUGCUGUGACGGUACUUAACCAGAAAGGGACGGCUAACUACGUGCCAGCAGCCGCGGUAAUACGUAGGUCCCGAGCGUUGUCCGGAUUUAUUGGGCGUAAAGCGAGCGCAGGCGGUCAAUUAAGUCUGAUGUGAAAGCCCCCGGCUCAACCGGGGAGGGUCAUUGGAAACUGGUUGACUUGAGUUCAGAAGAGGAGAGUGGAAUUCCAUGUGUAGCGGUGAAAUGCGUAGAUAUAUGGAGGAACACCAGUGGCGAAGGCGACUCUCUGGUCUGUAACUGACGCUGAGGUUCGAAAGCGUGGGUAGCAAACAGG